Molecule: ribosomal RNA, 497 nt
Filed under: uncultured bacterium
Lineage: Bacteria
Description: partial 16S ribosomal RNA
Rfam family: Bacterial small subunit ribosomal RNA
Source: RNAcentral
GAUGAACGCUGGCGGCGUGCCUAAUACAUGCAAGUCGAGCGAACAGACGAGGAGCUUGCUCCUCUGACGUUAGCGGCGGACGGGUGAGUAACACGUGGAUAACCUACCUAUAAGACUGGGAUAACUUCGGGAAACCGGAGCUAAUACCGGAUAAUAUAUUGAACCGCAUGGUUCAAUAGUGAAAGACGGUUUUGCUGUCACUUAUAGAUGGAUCCGCGCCGCAUUAGCUAGUUGGUAAGGUAACGGCUUACCAAGGCAACGAUGCGUAGCCGACCUGAGAGGGUGAUCGGCCACACUGGAACGUAGACACGGUCCGGACUCCUACGGGAGGCAGCAGUAGGGAAUCUUCCGCAAUGGGCGAAAGCUUGACGGAGCAACGCCGCGUGAGUGAUGAAGGUCUUCGGAUCGUAAAACUCUGUUAUUAGGGAAGAACAAAUGUGUAAGUAACUAUGCACGUCUUGACGGUACCUAAUCAGAAAGCCACGGCUAACUACGUG